Long non-coding RNA from Daphnia pulicaria, 1669 nucleotides. RefSeq lists it as uncharacterized. Lineage: Eukaryota; Metazoa; Arthropoda; Branchiopoda; Diplostraca; Daphniidae. The transcript is spliced from 8 exons. The record is from RefSeq and is a predicted model, not a curated record.
GUCAACCUGCUGAAAGAAAAAGGCCAGUUUCGAUUACCUUGACGCUCGAAGGUCACGGAGAUCAUUACGUAAAACGUGUCAUGCAGUGGUGUAGAGGUUGGGUGAGAAUGACACGUGUUGCUUCAUUAUCAAAAAGACCCAUCCCCGGCAAAGUCACCUGCAGAAGGAAAGGCCAGUUUGCAUUUCAAUCGAAGGUCAUGAAGAUCAUUACGUAAAAGGUGUCAGGUAUUGGUGUAGAGGUUGGGUGAAAACGGGACGUUUUGCUUCAUUAUCAAGAAGGUAAAAUAUAGCCAUUAGGCUUAAGAGGAGGGGUGAGAAAAAAUUGUAUUAAAGGCGAGAGAAAAGUUGACAGGGAUCAGUCGAGUGAGCAUCUCCGACCCGGCGACAACUUCAUUCUUCGUCGUAUUACCAGGUCGCAAUCACGGUUAACAAUGCCGUCAUGCUGCUAUUGGUUGUUGUAUCGUCGAUGGCUGGGUCGAUCACUGGUGUACCGACGUAUCCUGGUUAAGGCGGAUACCAAACCGCAACGCCACCGCCUUACUAAACAACAACAUACGCAACGACCAGAUACUACACCGAGGUUGCACUGUUGGGUUUACAGUUAAAUCACCAAGGAUCCAAAUUAUUACACCACAACUUGUGCUGCUCCUCGAGCUACACUACCAAAGCGCUACAGUACUACACCGAGGCACCUACUGAGACUACGCAACUACGUAUGCUGCCCCAACCUACGACACCGAGGCUCCAGCUUAUUACAUCACCAAGGCUGUCGAAUUCUACACUGGAGCGCCCAAGUACGACAGAAAUCAGUCAAGUGAGCUUCUCCGACACCCAACACGGCAACCCCGAAGUUUCGAAUAAACUUCGUUUCAAACAGUGGAACGGCAAAGAGUGAAGAACAAGACGAAUUCGACUGCAAUCGCGUCGAAUUGAAUAGUAAAGAUAACAUAUUCGUACGUGUACACCGCGCCAUUAAACUUGACAUUUGCGGUCGGCAAGCCGCACUUGACGAUGGCCGUACCAUCACCUACGACAAGGGCGUUAUUGCCACAGGUGUUAAACGAAAAUCUUUUCCAAUCCCUGAGCGGUGCCCUUAAAGAUGCCCACGAGCACGUAGCGCUGUUCCGCAACAUCGAUGGUGGUAACAUAGGUCGAGUUCUCCGUUCCCCUAAAUAUUUGAGCCAAUGGACAACCGAGAAAGUGAAAGCGGAAAGUGUUAAUGUUUUGCCCAAAGCUAAUGUUGAGGGUGUAAUUUUGGAAGACUACAAGGUCGCAUUGUCCUUAAACAAUGGUCAAAAGAUUUAAACUGACAAUGUCGUCGUUGCUGUCGGUUGGGACGUAAACACGGAUUUGGCUGUUGCUUUUGGUUUGGAAAUAGAGGAGAGGAGAUUUUGGUGGUUAUCGAGUCAAUACCGAGCUUGAAGCACAAUCGAACGUUUGUUUGACUGGAGAUGUUACGUUCUUUUCUGAUAUCAAAUUGGGUCGCUGUUGUAUGGAACAUGUUCACCAUGCUGUUGUAUCAGGGCGAUUGGCUGGAGAGAACAAUACUGGCAAAGAAAUAUGGAUGAAAAACUGCAGUGCACUAUUACCAAGUGGAUUCUUCGUCGUAUUAUCAGUACGCAAUCGGUUGAUUGUGAUGUCGCCGUUUGCCGUAUCGUUGAAAGCUGGG